AACCAAGGUGAUUCCCUCUCCAAGGGGCCUAAUUGUGCCCCUCUUCAGGAAAGUAGCAACUUGGAAUAAAAUCUGGCAUGCCUUAGCUUCUGAGGGCACAAGGUCAUGUGUCAUUUCCUUUGCCUGCCUUUGGCUGCCUACAUGU
Small nucleolar RNA from Pteronotus mesoamericanus, 145 nucleotides. RefSeq annotates it as small nucleolar RNA SNORA67. NCBI's taxonomy places the organism in Eukaryota, Metazoa, Chordata, Mammalia, Chiroptera, Mormoopidae. The transcript has a single exon. The record is from RefSeq and is a predicted model, not a curated record.